CCAAACGACUCUCGGCAAUGGAUAUCUCGGCUCUCGCAUCGAUGAAGAACGUAGCGAAAUGCGAUACUUGGUGUGAAUUGCAGAAUCCCAUGAACCAUCGAGUUUUUGAACGCAAGUUGCGCCCGAAGCCAUCAGGCCAAGGGCACGUUUGCCUGGACGUCACGC
Molecule: ribosomal RNA, 165 nt
Filed under: Fleroya rubrostipulata
Lineage: Eukaryota; Viridiplantae; Streptophyta; Magnoliopsida; Gentianales; Rubiaceae
Description: 5.8S ribosomal RNA
Rfam family: 5.8S ribosomal RNA
About the family: 5.8S ribosomal RNA (5.8S rRNA) is a component of the large subunit of the eukaryotic ribosome.
Source: RNAcentral